RNAcentral lists this long non-coding RNA (2996 nucleotides) under Triticum aestivum (bread wheat). RNAcentral's name for it is "long non-coding RNA (TAES_LNC018128)". Lineage: Eukaryota; Viridiplantae; Streptophyta; Magnoliopsida; Poales; Poaceae. The record is from RNAcentral.
UGUAUCCAGCCCACCCAUAUAUUACAUAAGAUUUUGGUAGUUUAAUGACUUGUGUCUUGGGCUAUCUGUGGAAGUUGGAUGGCACAUGGUAGUAGUAUUGUCCUUCGUACAUUGUCAGCCCUUGUAUCUCCUCUUUCUUUUGUGUCUUGCAGGCCAGCAUAUAAUUCCGUUCUUAGGUUUCCUUGAUGUAUUUUGAUCCAGUCUAGUAUGUACUGCAAAAUUCAAGCAAAGGCACUGUAAUUUAAGCUUUUUGCACACCAUCAAGUGUUUCAAUUGGUUAGUACGUUGUUAUAUAUGAUUCUUAUAGCAUUCCAAAAUUGUUGCAUGCUUUCUCUUGCCUUUUGCACCUUUUUUUCAUAUCUAAUGUAUAUUUCCUUUGUGCCCAUCUUCUCCGUAAGAGCAUAUUAAUGGACACUGCAUGGCCAUGAAUUUUGAAUGGUUCUAUGGUAUUCUUCUUGGCCACGUAUCUUUGUACUAAACAAUGAUAUCCUAUCCUUUUCUAUUCUCUGUUGUAUCAUUGACAAUCUAGGCUGCAACUUCAGUUGCAGAUGUCAUGUUGUGUCGUCUUAAUUUCAAGUUGUGAUAGUCGCCUUCUUUGAAUUUAUCCUUGCCAUUCUGAGUUUUUUUGCUAGUCUAUUAUCUCUAUCCAACAUAGUUUUAAGCCCCUCAACAAUGUGAGGAUCUGUUGACUCCCUUUUAUCUUCUAAUUUGUAUGCAUUAAUCCUAUUUUGUCCUGUUCAAUUUUCCAAAUUCAGCAUCAGUUUACAGAUUUGUAUUGUCUUAAUAGAACAUACAUAUGUGGUGCUUUUUUCUAUGUCCUCGGUUUUUAUGUUUUGCACUUUGUGUUACAUUUAGUCAUGUACACAUGCAUAAUAGAAAUACCAGGUUUAUGGAUGCCCAAACCGUAUAUCUUGAUUUAAUUUUCUUGUUACUUAUGUCGUGGUCUUACCAGCCUGACUGAUUAUUGAUUUUUUUGUGCCACGGGUUCUCCAUUGCUCUUUUUUAUUCCUGUUCCUGUAUAGUCUUACAUGUAGCUAUCUCUAUUGAAUUGCUCUGCACAAACAUAAAUACCAUUUAGUAGAAAAAUGAGAUUUUUUGCAGCAUGAGCAAUUUAUUACUUGUAAUAGUGGUCAAUGUACAUGAUUAACAUCUGUACAAGAUAUGGUUCCCUGUGGAAAUUCAACAAUGUUGAUUUUGCCUCUGUCUUGGCUAAGCUAAAGUGCACGGAAAUGUGUUCUCAUGUUUUUGAAAAAGAAAUAAUUGAUAUCUACAGCCAGGACCAAAUGCAACAUGUUUUUUUAAUAUUUAUUUAAUAGAGAACCUCAAAUUAGUUGUAGAUCAUAAUGGAAAUGCAUAGGUGGCCUUGCACCAUAACCAUUUGUGUAUGAUAAACUCUGUUAGAUCAAAUAUUUGUACAUCAAAUUGAUUGAUUUAAUGAAGAAUUUUUUGUAAGCUUGGAAAGAAUUGAACACAUAGAUAACACAAUUGAUGUGCAAAGCAGAAGCAAGCUAUAAUGCUGGUUCCAGUAUACCUUACUACAUUUGUGCAUCAUGUAACGGGCAUUUAGCAGUUGAAGUAAAUAUAGUGGAUGAUAAUACACAUAAGGAAAUAACUUUGUAAAUAUUUGCUCACCGCACGUAGUUCAUAGGUUGUUCUUUCGGCAUAGUUGUCGGUCUGGCACAUCUCCAUGCAUGUAUGAUCAAAAGUUGUCUCUUUUUCUUGUCUUGAAGUUUCGUUCUCCUCUCAUAUCUUGUCGUUGUUUAUUGACUGGACUCACAUCAAUCAGAUGACAAUCUGGAAUUAUUUUCCCCACCCAAGCUUAAAUCACAAACCCGCAUGUGCCUAACUUGAAUUUUUGCAUUGCAUAUUUUAGUUGUUAACACUCAUGUGAUAUCUCCUAUUAAAGAUGGUUAGUAAUGGAUCAGCUUGUUGGAUUGCACAUUUGAUGAUUUUAACCAUCUUGGAAGGUUUCUCUCAUUUUUGCUAUGUGGCACACCUUUUGAUUUAUGUUUCUUCCUGCGCAAUGAGAAUGCAUACAUCAUUAAAGAAGAUGAUAUUGUAAAAAUGUUAUCGAGUAUUGCUCAAGGUUAAGAAGAUUUAUGAUUUUGAUUAUUUUCUAGCUUACAGUUUUAUUUCUUUGUUGUCAAAGUAAAAGAGAUCAACUUCCAAGAACAGUGGAUGUUAAGUUCCAAUCUUCAUGUGAAAACACAAAUAUUGUGAGUAUCUUUUACCCCUAGUAUUGUAGUUACAUGCAAUUCCAUAAAUGCAUAUAUUUAGCAAAGAAUAAGAUUGUAAUUGAGGAUUGCAAGUUCAUGUACAAUUAGGACUGAACAAUUGGAAGUGGAACUGACGGCCUGAUCCAAACUUAAAAGCUAUUUGAUUGUGUUGUCAUACCAUGAAUUGAAGACAUUGGUUGUACUGCCAAUUCUGUUGUUGUUGCUGACAAAAGAUUGAACUCUAAGAAUAAGAUGAUUGCAAUGAGGAUAUGAAGUUGAUGUACAAUAACCAUUGAGAAGUUGCAAGGGGAGCUUAGGACAUGAUUUAAAACUAAUUGAUUGUGUUUUCAUACCUUCAGUUGAAGACGUAAGUUGUAGUGUCAGAUUCUUUCUUGUUGUUGAGAAAAGAUUGAACUUUAAAUCAGUUCUAUAUGAUCUCUUCAGAUGGUACUUAUUGGAGAUGGUCUGCUCGCCCAAUGGAGCCGAUGGCGCAAUCAAGGAGAUUGGGGCGCUCGCUCGUGAGAAGUUUUUAGGGAAAGCCAUUUGUGGCUGUGUAUAUUAAUUUGGAAUAAUAUCUACAUAAUCAAUUCAACCUAUCAUGAUUAUUGUUUAUGGGAUUGUAAGAUUGAUUGUGAGAUUUGUGUGUUAGAAUGUGCGACGAAUGGUAAGAUUGACCGUCAUAUGAGUGCAUAGGACAUGGGAAUGAAAACAAAAGGGUGUAGGCUUUGAUAGUUUGGGAUUAUGAAUCAACGCACGUACCUUGGCUUGGGCCGUUGCUGA